Molecule: ribosomal RNA, 465 nt
Filed under: uncultured bacterium
Lineage: Bacteria
Description: partial 16S ribosomal RNA
Rfam family: Bacterial small subunit ribosomal RNA
Source: RNAcentral
GACGAACGCUGGCGGCGUGCUUAACACAUGCAAGUCGAACGGAAAGGCCCCUUUGGGGGUACUCGAGUGGCGAACGGGUGAGUAACACGUGAGUAACCUUCCCUUGACUUCGGGAUAACUUCAGGAAACUGGGGCUAAUACCGGAUAGGAAUCCUUGCUGCAUGGUGGGGGUUGGAAAGCUUCGGCGGUUUUGGAUGGACUCGCGGCUUAUCAGCUUGUUGGUGGGGUAGUGGCUUACCAAGGCUUUGACGGGUAGCCGGCCUGAGAGGGCGACCGGCCACAUUGGGACUGAGAUACGGCCCAGACUCCUACGGGAGGCAGCAGUGGGGAAUAUUGCACAAUGGGCGGAAGCCUGAUGAAGCAACGCCGCGUGCGGGAGGACGGCCUUCGGGUUGUAAACCGCUUUCAGCAGGGGCGAAGCUUGUGGUGACGGUACCUGCAGAAGAAGCACCGGCUAACUACGUG